This 771-nucleotide non-coding RNA is filed under the name Pan troglodytes (chimpanzee). Lineage: Eukaryota; Metazoa; Chordata; Mammalia; Primates; Hominidae. The record is from RNAcentral.
GGAGACUAUAUAACUUACUCAUGGAUCCAUAGCUAGCCAGCUGCAAAGCUGGGAGUCACAACUCAAGAGACUAUCCUACACCGAAGACUGGACAAAUGGUUUCAUGAAAUGUUUCCCAGCUUUGUUAGGCUGAUACCCAGAAACAGCUGCUCUUCACUUCUCCCAACUGAAAACUCCAGUUAUUAUCAUUAAAACACCACCCUGCAGAAGAUCCACCCGCUCUGAGGGUAAAAACCUGCAGAAGAUCCACCCGCUCUGAGGGUAAAAGUUUGGCUGGUAAAAGAUAUGCUGAAUAAAGGAACACCAGGUAUAUCCCCUGAUGCCACAAGCUCAUUGCCAAGGAGCAGAUGACAUUGGCUACAUCACCACAAUAGAUUCUCUGAAAAUUCAGCAAGUGUCACACAGAAGCAUGUGGACAGUGUUGCUGGAGUCACAAAUGGGUCCGCGGUCCUCAAUGGGCUGUUAAUCUUCAUAGCUGAGGGAGACACAUGCCCAAGUAGUAUACACUACUCAUCACAUGCUGAAGGAAUCCAGGGAAAAGGAAGAAAGACCUCCACUGAUAGUACUGUGGAAUAUUGGGUUGGACGGAUUUAAAGUAGAACGUGGGAGACCAGACAGAAGUGUACAGCAAAAGUCCAGGCAAAAACUUGACGAGAGCCUAGAACACAGAAGUGGCAAAAAAGAAAACUUCAAACGUCACAGUACAAAUCCUAUUGUUCACUAUCCUGGGUCCCAUCCCAAGCAACGUGCAUGUAAGAUUUUACCUAAUAC